This 294-nucleotide unclassified non-coding RNA is filed under the name uncultured Gammaproteobacteria bacterium. RNAcentral describes it as "contains 16S-23S intergenic spacer region". Lineage: Bacteria; Pseudomonadati; Pseudomonadota; Gammaproteobacteria. The record is from RNAcentral.
CUGGACUACUGGGGUUUCUAAUCCUGUUUGCUCCCCACGCUUUCGUGCAUGAGCGUCAGUGUUAUCCCAGGAGGCUGCCUUCGCCAUCGGUGUUCCUCCGCAUAUCUACGCAUUUCACUGCUACACGCGGAAUUCCACCUCCCUCUGACACACUCUAGCUCGGUAGUUAAAAAUGCAGUUCCAAAGUUAAGCUCUGGGAUUUCACAUCUUUCUUUCCGAACCGCCUGCGCACGCUUUACGCCCAGUAAUUCCGAUUAACGCUUGCACCCUACGUAUUACCGCGGCUGCUGGCAC